Long non-coding RNA from Planococcus citri (citrus mealybug), 875 nucleotides. RefSeq lists it as uncharacterized. The transcript is spliced from 3 exons. Lineage: Eukaryota; Metazoa; Arthropoda; Insecta; Hemiptera; Pseudococcidae. The record is from RefSeq and is a predicted model, not a curated record.
UUAUAUGUACAUACGUAGAGAAUAUGGUUUAUUUUUCAAUUUAAUAGGUAUACAAGGUAGAUACCUAUAGUUUUUGUUCCGGUUCAGAAAAAAAAUACGCAAAAAGUUUCGAAAAAAAUUGAAUAAAACGUGUUACACGAUAUUAUUACAUAUUUUCUUUGCGAUAGAUACACCAGAGAGUAAUAUUUUCGAAAAAUGUACUUCGAAGGCAAGAAAAUUCCGUACCUAUGAAUUGUUUUAAUGCGGAUAUACCUACCUAGCACUAUAGCUACAUAAAGCACAUAGAAUAGAACAUGGUCGAUAUAUCUAAACGCACAGAUACCUGUCUAAAGCGAUAGCUACUAAAUGUAGUAUGGACGAUGUACAGCAAAGUACAUCGCUUCCAGUCCAUAGAUCACACAAUUCCGGGCUGAAACGCCACUCACGAGUCACCUCAUAAACCGCACCCAGCGGCAUCACAAAGCUCGCAACUAAUAAAUCAGCAAAUGCUAAAGACAUAAUGAGAAAGUUCGGUGGUGUUCGUAGAUGCGAUUCGACCAAAAUUGCCGUGAUAACAAUUACAUUUCCUGCAACAAAAUUUUACAGCUUUCACAGAGGACAUAAAAGUAGAUGCCUACCUAACGAACGGCCAGACCGAUCUUGCGUGUAGAAUAUGUUGAACUUGCGAGACAUUUUCACCAAAAGCAACAAGUUUUAUAGUACCUAAAGCGGUUGUUUCCCUUCACAAGCUCGUUAUACGGGUUUCUUAUAUAUUUAGGGUGUUUUUAAAACAGAUAAUAAGAAAAUGAAAUAAAAUAAUAAUAAAAUAAAAAAAAAUACUGUAAGGACGCGUGUAUUUGCAGUAUCUAUCCGAAAGGUUUAUUUGUCCCAACUAA